GGAUGUAGCGCAGCCCGGUAGCGCGCUUCGUUCGGGACGAAGAGGCCGCUGGUUCGAAUCCAGUCAUCCCGA
This 72-nucleotide transfer RNA is filed under the name Bacteroidota bacterium. RNAcentral's name for it is "Bacteroidetes bacterium tRNA-Pro". It matches the Rfam family "tRNA". Rfam says of the family: Transfer RNA (tRNA) molecules are approximately 80 nucleotides in length. Their secondary structure includes four short double-helical elements and three loops (D, anti-codon, and T loops). The record is from RNAcentral. Lineage: Bacteria; Pseudomonadati; Bacteroidota.